Long non-coding RNA from Salvia miltiorrhiza (redroot sage), 440 nucleotides. RefSeq lists it as uncharacterized. The transcript has 2 exons. Lineage: Eukaryota; Viridiplantae; Streptophyta; Magnoliopsida; Lamiales; Lamiaceae. The record is from RefSeq and is a predicted model, not a curated record.
UUCUAUUGAUUUCUGUCGGUUUCAGUCGUCCCUCCGUCCGUUCAAGUCACCAGUUGCCGAUCAGGAAGCUACCCCCUCCAUUCGUCCAGUCGCCGGACGCGGGGCAGCCAUCUUCCUGACAAAACAAAGGCAGAGACCAAGGAAAGAGAGUUGCUACGAGGGUAAGUAUUUUCUUCAUUUUUUAUAUUUAACUAUGGCUCAAAUAGCGGCUAUGGUCUAGUUUUAAAUUUUAGAUGAGCAUGUAUCCAGAUAGUAAAUGAAGAUUAGGUUGAGGGAUAGUUGUGUUCCAUCUCAUUUUAUUGUUAAUUAUAUGGUGAUGAUCUGGAGUCGUUUACAUAUUGUUGUGUUUGAUUUGCUUUUUAGUUGUUUAAAAUUCAAUAUUCUAUAUUAUCAUGUUAAAAUUCAAUGUCCUAAUUAUAAAAUUAUAGGUUUUGUUAAAA